RNAcentral lists this unclassified non-coding RNA (342 nucleotides) under soil metagenome. RNAcentral describes it as "partial contains 5.8S ribosomal RNA, internal transcribed spacer 2, and large subunit ribosomal RNA". The stretch from base 1 to 120 matches the Rfam family "5.8S ribosomal RNA", at positions 35 to 154 of the family's 154-position model. The record is from RNAcentral.
GAUGAAGAACGCAGCGAAAUGCGAUAAGUAAUGUGAAUUGCAGAAUCCAGUGAAUCAUCGAAUCUUUGAACGCACAUUGCGCCCGCCAGCAUUCUGGCGGGCAUGCCUGUUCGAGCGUCAUUUCAACCCUCGACCUCCCUUUGGGGAAGUCGGCGUUGGGGACCGGCAGCACACCGCCGGCCCUGAAAUGGAGUGGCGGCCCGUCCGCGGCGACCUCUGCGUAGUAAACCAACUCGCACCGGAACCCCGACGUGGCCACGCCGUAAAACACCCAACUUCUGAACGUUGACCUCGAAUCAGGUAGGACUACCCGCUGAACUUAAGCAUAUCAAUAAGCGGGGA